AUUCAGGAAAAGGAUUUUAGUCCUACUUUAAGUUUUUAAUAACAAUAAAUAUUUCUAUAAACUUAAAAGCUAUUCAAAUAAGGUUCAGCUUAUUUGAAAAAGGAUUCAACCUAAAAAACAGGGUAAUGUUUUUAUCUAUUUGACUAAGUGGGCCUAAAAGCAGCCACCUUUAUAAAAGCGUUAAAGCUUUCUCAUAAAUUAAACUAAUCUCUACAACUUUACAAAACCCUUACUCCAUACUGAAUGAUUCUAUAAAACUAUAGAAAACCUUAUGCUAGAACUAGUAACAAGAAGAAGACCUUCUCCAUAAAUGUAAAUAUAAACCGGAAUGAACAAAUCACCGGAACUUAUCGCCAAUGAAAAAAUUAUAGCAACUUUUCAAGAAAAAACUAUUUUAUCAAGCGUUAACCUUACACAAGAACAUUUCAGGAAAGAUUUAAAAAAGAGGAAGGAACUCGGCAAACAAUUAACCCCGCCUGUUUACCAAAAACAUCGCCUUGUGAUAAAAUAUACAAGGUCUAGCCUGCCCGGUGAUUUAUUUUAACGGCCGCGGUACCCUAACCGUGCAAAGGUAGCACAAUCACUUGUUCCUUAAAUAGGGACUAGUAUGAACGGCAUCACGAGGGUUAUGCUGUCUCCCUCUUUUAAUCAGUGAAACUGAUCUCCCCGUGAAGAAGCGAGGAUAUUAUUAUAAGACGAGAAGACCCCAUGGAGCUUUAAACUCAGAAACACCAGCUACUUUUUAAAUCAAAUUAAUUGGCUUCCAUGAUUUCUAGUUUUCGGUUGGGGUGACCAUGGAGUACAACACAACCUCCUUGAUGAACGGAACUAGUUUCCUUAUUUAAGAACUACAGUUCUAAAAAUCAACAUAUUGACAAAAAUUGAUCCAAAUUUUUUUUGAUCAACGAACCAAGUUACCCUGGGGAUAACAGCGCAAUCCAUUUCAAGAGCUCAUAUCGACAAAUGGGUUUACGACCUCGAUGUUGGAUCAGGGUAUCCCAGUGGUGCAGCCGCUACUAAAGGUUCGUUUGUUCAACGAUUAAAACCCU
This 1049-nucleotide ribosomal RNA is filed under the name Kalophrynus interlineatus (striped sticky frog). Its description in RNAcentral is "partial 16S ribosomal RNA". It matches the Rfam family "Bacterial large subunit ribosomal RNA", at positions 855 to 2597 of the family's 2925-position model. The record is from RNAcentral. Lineage: Eukaryota; Metazoa; Chordata; Amphibia; Anura; Microhylidae.